This 501-nucleotide ribosomal RNA is filed under the name uncultured bacterium. RNAcentral describes it as "partial 16S ribosomal RNA". It matches the Rfam family "Bacterial small subunit ribosomal RNA", at positions 30 to 523 of the family's 1533-position model. The record is from RNAcentral.
AUUGAACGCUGGCGGCAGGCUUAACACAUGCAAGUCGAGCGGAGAUGAGGUGCUUGCACCUUAUCUUAGCGGCGGACGGGUGAGUAAUGCUUAGGAAUCUGCCUAUUAGUGGGGGACAACAUUCCGAAAGGAAUGCUAAUACCGCAUACGUCCUACGGGAGAAAGCAGGGGAUCUUCGGACCUUGCGCUAAUAGAUGAGCCUAAGUCGGAUUAGCUAGUUGGUGGGGUAAAGGCCUACCAAGGCGACGAUCUGUAGCGGGUCUGAGAGGAUGAUCCGCCCAACUGGGACUGAGACACGGCCCAGACUCCUACGGGAGGCAGCAGUGGGGAAUAUUGGACAAUGGGGGAAACCCUGAUCCAGCCAUGCCGGAUGUGUGAAGAAGGCCUUAUGGUUGUAAAGCACUUUAAGCGAGGAGGAGGCUACUGAGACUAAUACUCUUGGAUAGUGGACGUUACUCGCAGAAUAAGCACCGGCUAACUCUGUGCCAGCAGCCGCCGUAA